GGAGUUCGAAUAGAUAUUGGUUGUGCUCGAAAGGUUAUGAAUCGAUUUACAUGUCCAAUCCCAAUGUCUUGAUUUCUACUGGCAAUACAUCGUGUGCCCCUAUAUAUAUCAUCUACUAAUACACGACCCAUUAAUGUUUGGAUAACGUCUCGAGAUUCAGGCGAUUGCGGAUGAUAUAACUAGUAAAUACGUUCCUCCCCAUGUGAAUUUAUUUUAUUGUUCAGGGGGAAUUACGCUUACUUGUUUUUUAGUACAAGUAGCUGCGGGGUUUGCCUAUCGUCAUCACUG
This 288-nucleotide long non-coding RNA is filed under the name Olea europaea subsp. europaea. The record is from RNAcentral. Lineage: Eukaryota; Viridiplantae; Streptophyta; Magnoliopsida; Lamiales; Oleaceae.